RNAcentral lists this non-coding RNA (30 nucleotides) under Homo sapiens (human). Lineage: Eukaryota; Metazoa; Chordata; Mammalia; Primates; Hominidae. The record is from RNAcentral.
CAGGGCAUCCCUACCGCCUGGAAAUCCUGA